Molecule: non-coding RNA, 141 nt
Filed under: Opisthocomus hoazin
Lineage: Eukaryota; Metazoa; Chordata; Aves; Opisthocomiformes; Opisthocomidae
Description: Eukaryotic large subunit ribosomal RNA
Rfam family: Eukaryotic large subunit ribosomal RNA
Source: Rfam by way of RNAcentral
UUUCCCUCAGGAUAGUUGGCACUCGGCUGUGGACAGUUUUACCUGGUAAAGCAAAUGAUUAGAGGUCUUGGGGCCGAAACGAUCUCAACCUAGUAUCAGCUUCUAAUUAUAUAAGAUUAUGGUAAACAAUAAAAUAUGUCA